This 485-nucleotide ribosomal RNA is filed under the name uncultured bacterium. RNAcentral's name for it is "partial 16S ribosomal RNA". It matches the Rfam family "Bacterial small subunit ribosomal RNA", at positions 28 to 507 of the family's 1533-position model. The record is from RNAcentral.
GAUGAACGCUGGCGGCGUGCUUAACACAUGCAAGUCGAACGGGAUCCAAGGGGUGCUUGCACUUUUUGGUGAGAGUGGCGAACGGUUGAGUAACACGUGAGUAACCUGUCCUUUUCUUUGGGAUAAGCAUUCGAAAGGGUGUUUAAUACCUUAUGUUCUGUCUGCCUCGCAUGGGGUGGGUGGGAAAGGCUUUGGCCGGAUUUGGGUGGGCUCGCGGUCUAUCAGCUUGUUGGUGGGGUGAUGGCUUACCAAGGCUUUGACGGGUAGCCGGCCUGAGAGGGUGGUCGGUCACAUUGGGACUGAGAUACGGCCCAGACUCCUGCGGGAGGCAGCAGUGGGGGAUAUUGCACAAUGGGCGAAAGCCUGAUGCAGCGACGCCGCGUGGGGGAUGAAGGCCUGCGGGUUGUAAACUUCUUUUGCUCUGAACAAGGCAUGCCAGUGGGUGUGUUGAGUGUAGGGGUUGAUUAGCGCCGGCUAACUACGUG